Molecule: long non-coding RNA, 152 nt
Organism: Microtus oregoni (creeping vole)
Lineage: Eukaryota; Metazoa; Chordata; Mammalia; Rodentia; Cricetidae
Exons: 3
Source: RefSeq, a predicted model, not a curated record
GGCUUCCUUGGGAAAUAAUUCUCGGUUACAGCCGAAGUCACACAUGGUGGUGCUGAGUUUUGUCCAGGUUACCCGUUCUAAGUUAUAUGCAGCUUGGAACAGUCUUACCAUCUUGAAUACUCUGAAGAAAGUUCUGUGAAACUUCAAACAGC